GAUUUCUGGUUCGGCGCACUUGGCCCGUCUCGGUUUACGGGCUUGUGUGCCGGUGUGCGCCAUCCAUCCUUCGAGAGAACACCCUUGUCCUUCACUGGCUCGAGGGUGCUAUCUCGAUCUUUUACUUUGAAAAAAUUAGAGUGUUUAAAGCAGGCUUGCGCUAUGAAUACAUUAGCAUGGAAUAAUAAUUUAGGACUUUGGUCUUAUUUUGUUGGUUUCUAGGACUAAAGUAAUGAUUGAUAGGGACAGUUGGGGGUGCUAGUAUUCAGCGGCCAGAGGUGAAAUUCUUGGAUUCGCUGAAGACUAACUUAUGCGAAAGCAUU
RNAcentral lists this ribosomal RNA (323 nucleotides) under uncultured cercomonad. RNAcentral describes it as "SSU rRNA". The stretch from base 108 to 323 matches the Rfam family "Eukaryotic small subunit ribosomal RNA", at positions 738 to 955 of the family's 1831-position model. The record is from RNAcentral. Lineage: Eukaryota; Cercozoa; Cercomonadida; Cercomonadidae.